GAAAACGUCAGUGCAGACAACUGACAUCGUAUCGUGUAGAGCGUACUCAGUGUACUAUAUUAGAUUCGUUAAGUCACGAUAAAUAAAAAGCCUUGUGUCAUCAAUGCUUCUUAAAAUAGUUAAAAUAAAAUUUUCGUAGAGCACACAUUGCACACAUUAUAUACGAGAAUCAAUACACCAAAUUCAAAAAAUUAUUUCGAGUUCGAUUAAAACUUUAUGAUCGGUCAAUUCGCUCUCCGAAGACCUCCUAUUGCCUUCGUAAUGAUUUUGAUUUGGUUUUCAACUGAAGACAAGACUGUGUAUACCAAGUAAACAAAUUAUACAUUUCGUCAUUGCUGCACAAAUAGAUAUUUUCAACGAUUGUGCUGAGUAACGAAACGUUAAAAGUUCUGUGAUCAUUCUGUGAGUAUUUCGUUCUUGAAAGAUGAUUACAGUGAAAUUGUGUCUAAUCUUGUCGCUCGGGACAGUGUUGAUUUGUUCAAAUGUUUGCGGUGAAGAAUGUAUGUCACCUCUGCAAAUAAUCACAGCCACUAGGGCUUUGUGUGGAAAGCAUCGAAAUAACAAAGUGUUAUGGCAACAAGUCAUCGAUUGUCAUAUACCGAUUUCUGAUGAGUUUAUGCGUAGCAGUGGCGAAGCCCAAUGUGCUAUUCACAAACACGUUGAUGAUCCAACUAACACUAAAUACUCCAUUCAAGAUGUCUUUUUCAAUAUUUGCGGUUUGGUUGACGGAAGCUUUUUUGAUCAAGUCAGGGGUGGCGCGUGUAUUUUAGCGGGAAAAAGCAAUCCAUCCGUUAUGUCCCAUUCUAGAGAGGUAGCCGCAGUCGAAAAGACUUGGGGAAAGGAUGUGCCUUGUAAUGUUGGGAAAUGCAUUCUGAAACUGGACCUGAAUUGACCUGAAACUGGACCUGUAACUUGUAAUUAAUGUGAUCGGCCCUGUUACAUAAGUUUUAAUUGACGAUAUGUCAUGCGAAAUGUUCAUAUGCACAGCUGAUCUAGGUGACUGAUUAAAUAAUUUUUCCGUUGGUGGAGA
Molecule: long non-coding RNA, 1030 nt
Organism: Bradysia coprophila
Lineage: Eukaryota; Metazoa; Arthropoda; Insecta; Diptera; Sciaridae
Source: RefSeq, a predicted model, not a curated record